RNAcentral lists this ribosomal RNA (871 nucleotides) under uncultured Neocallimastigales. RNAcentral describes it as "partial large subunit ribosomal RNA". It matches the Rfam family "Eukaryotic large subunit ribosomal RNA", at positions 1 to 620 of the family's 3401-position model. Lineage: Eukaryota; Fungi; Neocallimastigomycota; Neocallimastigomycetes; Neocallimastigales. The record is from RNAcentral.
AUGUGAUCGUCUCUCGCAUAUCAAUAAGCGGAGGAAAAGUCUGCGGAACUGAAUGACCGCUACCUACGCUUAGGAUGUUGAAGAUGUAGCACAUCAUACACGCAUGACACACUGCAUAUCAAUAAGCGGAGGAAAAGAAACUAACAAGGAUUCCCUUAGUAACGGCGAGUGAAGCGGGAAGAGCUCAAAUUUGAAAUCUUCAAGGUUUUACCUUGACGAAUUGUAGUUUAAAGAAGUGUUUUCUGUUGAAGUUUUGGUAAAAGUUCUUUGGAAUAGGACAUCAUAGAGGGUGAGAAUCCCGUAUUUGACCAUUAUUUUCAGCUGUGUGAUACACUUUCAAAGAGUCGGAUUGUUUGGGAAUGCAGUCCAAAAUGGGUGGUAAAUUUCAUCUAAAGCUAAAUAUUGGCGAGAGACCGAUAGCGAACAAGUACCGUGAGGGAAAGAUGAAAAGAACUUUGAAAAGAGAGUUAAACAGUACGUGAAAUUGUCAAAAGGGAAGCGUUUGACACCAGUGUUGUUUUCUCGAAAAUCAAUUAAAAAGAGUUUGAUUUUGUUGUGUAUUGACCUUAACAGCUUGCAUUUCAAUUUUCUUGCUUUUUUUAAUGCACUUUUCGUUUAACAAGUCAACAUCAGUUUCUUUUGAUGUAAAAAGGUCAUUGGAAGGUGGCUUUCUUUUCGGAGAAAGUGUUUAUAGCCUUUGACUCCUGCAAUCGGAGAGACUGAGGUCUGCAGCGUAGAUCCUUCGGGGUUAGAUACAUUUGUGCUAAGUUAUAGCUUUUUAUAGACAACUUGUUGACUAUGAUUAGUCUUGUAGCUUACUCGCUUAUGCUAUUUUACCUACGCUUAGGAUGUUGAAGAUGUAGCACAUCAU